AAGACCAGUGUGAACAUCUGUUGUGGAAGUCUUUUUCCUGAUUACCAUCUCUUAAAACAAGAAGAUCCGUUUAAAGAAGUCGUGAAAUCUUCAAAAUUAAACAGUGAUGUUUGUGUAAAAACAAAUAUAAAUGGAAGUAACAUAAAACAAUCUAAUAUACAUGAAGGUGAUGAUAAACCAUACAGUUAUGUAACAUGUGGAAAGGAAAGUGUAACAUUGGAUAACGUAAAACAAUCUAAUAUACAUGAAGGUGAUGAUAAACCAUACAGUUAUGUAACAUGUGGAAAGGAAAGUGUAACAUUGGA
This is a long non-coding RNA of Limulus polyphemus (Atlantic horseshoe crab), 305 nucleotides long. RefSeq lists it as uncharacterized. Lineage: Eukaryota; Metazoa; Arthropoda; Merostomata; Xiphosura; Limulidae. The transcript has 2 exons. The record is from RefSeq and is a predicted model, not a curated record.